RNAcentral lists this transfer RNA (90 nucleotides) under Burkholderia multivorans CGD1. Its description in RNAcentral is "tRNA-Ser". It matches the Rfam family "tRNA". Rfam says of the family: Transfer RNA (tRNA) molecules are approximately 80 nucleotides in length. The record is from RNAcentral. RNAcentral also lists the same sequence under 2 other names. Lineage: Bacteria; Pseudomonadati; Pseudomonadota; Betaproteobacteria; Burkholderiales; Burkholderiaceae.
UGGAAGCGUGGCCGAGUGGUUUAAGGCACUGGUCUUGAAAACCAGCGACGGGCAACCGUCCGUGAGUUCGAAUCUCACCGCUUCCGCCAA